CCGGUGGCGGAUGGGCAUGCGGCGCAUUAGCUAGUCGGCGGGGUAACGGCCCACCGAGGCGACGAUGCGUAGGGGUUCUGAGAGGAAGGUCCCCCACACUGGUACUGAGACACGGACCAGACUCCUACGGGAGGCAGCAGUGAGGAAUAUUGGUCAAUGGGCGCGAGCCUGAACCAGCCAAGUCGCGUGAGGGAUGACGGUCCUACGGAUUGUAAACCUCUUUUGCCGGGGAGCAAGCGUGCGUUCGUGAACGCGCGUCGAGAGUACCCGGAGAAAAAGCAUCGGCUAACUCCGUGCCAGCAGCCGCGGUAAUACGGAGGAUGCGAGCGUUAUCCGGAUUUAUUGGGUUUAAAGGGUGCGUAGGCGGGAUGCCAAGUCAGCGGUAAAAAUGCGGUGCUCAACGCCGUCGAGCCGUUGAAACUGGCGUUCUUGAGUGGGCGAGAAGUAUGCGGAAUGCGUGGUGUAGCGGUGAAAUGCAUAGAUAUCACGCAGAACUCCGAUUGCGAAGGCAGCAUACCGGCGCCCUACUGACGCUGAGGCACGAAAGCGUGGGUAUCGAACAGGAUUAGAUACCCUGGUAGUCCACGCCGUAAACGAUGA
This 600-nucleotide ribosomal RNA is filed under the name uncultured bacterium. RNAcentral's name for it is "bacterial SSU rRNA". It matches the Rfam family "Bacterial small subunit ribosomal RNA", at positions 215 to 812 of the family's 1533-position model. The record is from RNAcentral.